AUACGUAGGGGGCGAGCGUUGUCCGGAAUGAUUGGGCGUAAAGGGCGCGUAGGCGGCCUGUUAAGUCUGGAGUGAAAGUCCUGUUUUCAAGAUGGGAAUUGCUUUGGAUACUGAUGGGCUUGAGUGCAGGAGAGGUUAUCGGAAUUCCCGGUGUAGCGGUGAAAUGCGUAGAGAUCGGGAGGAACAUUAGUGGCGAAGGCGGGUAACUGGACUGCAACUGACGCUGAGGCGCGAAAGUGUGGGGAGCAAACAGGAUUAGAUACCCUGGUAGUCCACACUGUAAACGAUGAAUGCUAGGUGUAAGAGGUAUCGACCCCUUUUGUGCCGGAGUUAACACAAUAAGCAUUCCGCCUGGGGAGUACGGCCGCAAGGUUGAAACUCAAAGGAAUUGACGGGG
This 397-nucleotide ribosomal RNA is filed under the name uncultured bacterium. Its description in RNAcentral is "partial 16S ribosomal RNA". It matches the Rfam family "Bacterial small subunit ribosomal RNA", at positions 523 to 918 of the family's 1533-position model. The record is from RNAcentral.